GACGAACGCUGGCGGCGUGCUUAACACAUGCAAGUCGAACGAAGUGGCGAACGGUUGAGUAAUACGUGGGUAACCUGCCCUCCUUUUUGGCAUAAGCCUUGGAAACGGGGUCUAAUACCGAAUACAGUGGGAUGGGCUCGCGGCCUAUCAGCUUGUUGGUGGGGUGAUGGCCUACCAAGGCGGUGACGGGUAGCCGGCCUGAGAGGGUGAACGGCAAGAUUGGAACGGCGAUACGGCUACGACUGCUACGGGAGGGAGAAGUGGGGGAAUGUGCACAAUGGGCGACAGGCUGAUGCGGCGACGGCGAGUGGGGGAUGAAGGCUUUCGGGUUGUAAACCUCUUUAGAUAUCGAAUGGGUAGGUGGAGAAGAAGCGCCGGCUAACUACGUGCCAGCAGCCGCGGUAAUUC
This 408-nucleotide ribosomal RNA is filed under the name uncultured bacterium. Its description in RNAcentral is "partial 16S ribosomal RNA". It matches the Rfam family "Bacterial small subunit ribosomal RNA", at positions 28 to 526 of the family's 1533-position model. The record is from RNAcentral.